Long non-coding RNA from Diorhabda carinulata, 336 nucleotides. RefSeq lists it as uncharacterized. The transcript has 2 exons. NCBI's taxonomy places the organism in Eukaryota, Metazoa, Arthropoda, Insecta, Coleoptera, Chrysomelidae. The record is from RefSeq and is a predicted model, not a curated record.
UUAUAUUUAUAACACUAUAUAAUAUAUAACGUAAAUAUAUUUAAUAAAACUACUAGAUGCGAAUGUUGUCUUAGCGUUCGUAACGAUAGUAUAGUGGGGCGGCGGUUAAGCGUCGGUCGUGGUGGACGGAGCAACACAACAGAUUGGAUUCAACAACCCAACAAACUCAAACGAUAGAAUUUGUCUUGCGGGAAAAGUCUCCGAAGAAGAAAACUCGGUUAUCGAAACGAAACUGAUUGGGACUCGAAGUUUAGGUAUUUUAGUCCUGCAACCCAUUAACAUUUACUAAGUACAGUUUUGUAUUGUUAUAAAUAUUAAUAAAAUCACUAAAAUAAA